CCUACGGGAGGCAGCAGUGGGGAAUAUUGCACAAUGGGCGCAAGCCUGAUGCAGCGACGCCGCGUGAGGGAUGACGGCCUUCGGGUUGUAAACCUCUUUCAGUAGGGAAGAAGCGAAAGUGACGGUACCUGCAGAAGAAGCGCCGGCUAACUACGUGCCAGCAGCCGCGGUAAUACGUAGGGCGCAAGCGUUAUCCGGAAUUAUUGGGCGUAAAGAGCUCGUAGGCGGUUUGUCGCGUCUGCCGUGAAAGUCCGGGGCUCAACUCCGGAUCUGCGGUGGGUACGGGCAGACUAGAGUGAUGUAGGGGAGACUGGAAUUCCUGGUGUAGCGGUGAAAUGCGCAGAUAUCAGGAGGAACACCGAUGGCGAAGGCAGGUCUCUGGGCAUUAACUGACGCUGAGGAGCGAAAGCAUGGGGAGCGAACAGGAUUAGAUACCCUGGUAGUCCAUGCCGUAAACGUUGGGCACUAGGUGUGGGGGACAUUCCACGUUUUCCGCGCCGUAGCUAACGCAUUAAGUGCCCCGCCUGGGGAGUACGGCCGCAAGGCUAAAACUUAAAGGAAUUGACGG
This 568-nucleotide ribosomal RNA is filed under the name uncultured bacterium. Its description in RNAcentral is "bacterial SSU rRNA". It matches the Rfam family "Bacterial small subunit ribosomal RNA", at positions 338 to 916 of the family's 1533-position model. The record is from RNAcentral.